CACGUAGGUGGCGACGUAAGUCGGGUGUGAAAGCCCCGGGCUCAACCUGGGAAUUGCAUUCGAGACUGUGUCGCUGGAGUACGGAAGAGGAAGGCGGAAUUCCCGGUGUAGCGGUGAAAUGCGUAGAUAUCGGGAGGAACAUCAGUGGCGAAGGCGGCCUUCUGGUCCAGUACUGACACUCAAGUGCGAAAGCGUGGGGAAGCAAACA
RNAcentral lists this ribosomal RNA (208 nucleotides) under uncultured bacterium. RNAcentral describes it as "partial 16S ribosomal RNA". It matches the Rfam family "Bacterial small subunit ribosomal RNA", at positions 568 to 774 of the family's 1533-position model. The record is from RNAcentral.